This 66-nucleotide transfer RNA is filed under the name Cellana radiata. RNAcentral describes it as "tRNA-Glu". Lineage: Eukaryota; Metazoa; Mollusca; Gastropoda; Nacellidae. The record is from RNAcentral.
GUUACUAGGGUGUGUUUGGCAUAUUAGGUUUUCGUUCUAAUGGUGUAGAUUUUUCUACUUGUAAUU